AUUGAACGCUGGCGGCAGGCCUAACACAUGCAAGUCGAAUGGUAACAGGAAACAGCUUGCUGUUUCGCUGACGAGUGGCGGACGGGUGAGUAAUGUCUGGGAAACUGCCUGAUGGAGGGGGAUAACUACUGGAAACGGUAGCUAAUACCGCAUAACGUCGCAAGACCAAAGAGGGGGACCUUCGGGCCUCUUGCCAUCAGAUGUGCCCAGAUGGGAUUAGCUAGUAGGUGGGGUAACGGCUCACCUAGGCGACGAUUCCUAGCUGGUCUGAGAGGAUGACCAGCCACACUGGAACUGAGACACGGUCCAGACUCCUACGGGAGGCAGCAGUGGGGAAUAUUGCACAAUGGGCGCAAGCCUGAUGCAGCCACGCCGCGUGUAUGAAGAAGGCCUUCGGGUUGUAAAGUACUUUCAGCGGGGAGGAAGGGAGUAAAGUUAAUACCUUUGCUCAUUGACGUUACCCGCAGAAGAAGCACCGGCUAACUCCGUG
Molecule: ribosomal RNA, 490 nt
Filed under: uncultured bacterium
Lineage: Bacteria
Description: partial 16S ribosomal RNA
Rfam family: Bacterial small subunit ribosomal RNA
Source: RNAcentral